Unclassified non-coding RNA from Macaca fascicularis (crab-eating macaque), 207 nucleotides. It matches the Rfam family "Metazoan signal recognition particle RNA". From Rfam's summary of the family: The signal recognition particle (SRP) is a universally conserved ribonucleoprotein. It is involved in the co-translational targeting of proteins to membranes. NCBI's taxonomy places the organism in Eukaryota, Metazoa, Chordata, Mammalia, Primates, Cercopithecidae. The record is from Ensembl.
AAGAGACCUUUAAGACAGCUGGUCAUUAUGCCGACCGGGUGUCCACGCUAAGUUCGGUAUCAAUAUGGUGACCUCCUGGGAGCAGGAGGCCAUCAGGUUGCCUAAGGAUGGGAGAACUGGCCCAGGUCAGAAAGGGAGCAGGUCAGGACUCCCGCACCAAUCGGUAGUGGGACUGUGCCUGGGCAGUAUAGCAAGAUCUUGGUUCUU